Molecule: ribosomal RNA, 485 nt
Filed under: uncultured bacterium
Lineage: Bacteria
Description: partial 16S ribosomal RNA
Rfam family: Bacterial small subunit ribosomal RNA
Source: RNAcentral
ACGAACGCUGGCGGCGUGCUUAACCCAUGCAAGUCGAACGGGAUCCAAAGGCUUUUUGUUUUUGGUGAGAGUGGCGAACGGGUGAGUAACACGUGAGUAACCUGCCCCCUUCUUUUGGAUAACCGCAUGAAAGUGUGGCUAAUACAGGAUAUUCCAGGCUGGUCGCAUGAUUGGUUUGGGAAAUGGUUUGGUCUGGUGGGGGAUGGGCUCGCGGCCUAUCAGCUUGUUGGUGGGGUGAUGGCCUACCAAGGCGGUGACGGGUAGCCGGCCUGAGAGGGUGGGCGGUCACACUGGGACUGAGAUACGGCCCAGACUCCUACGGGAGGCAGCAGUGGGGGAUUUUGCACAAUGGGCGCAAGCCUGAUGCAGCGACGCCGCGUGAGGGAUGAAGGCCUUCGGGUUGUAAACCUCUUUCGCUGGGUUGAAAGGCCAUGCUUUGGGUGUGGUUGAUUUGAACUGGUAAAGAAGUACCGGCUAACUACGUG